This 376-nucleotide ribosomal RNA is filed under the name uncultured Legionella sp. Its description in RNAcentral is "bacterial SSU rRNA". It matches the Rfam family "Bacterial small subunit ribosomal RNA", at positions 283 to 651 of the family's 1533-position model. The record is from RNAcentral. Lineage: Bacteria; Pseudomonadati; Pseudomonadota; Gammaproteobacteria; Legionellales; Legionellaceae.
GUAGCUGGUCUGAGAGGAUGGCCAGCCACACUGGAACUGAGACACGGUCCAGACUCCUACGGGAGGCAGCAGUGGGGAAUAUUGGACAAUGGGGGCAACCCUGAUCCAGCAAUGCCGCGUGUGUGAAGAAGGCCUGAGGGUUGUAAAGCACUUUCAGUGGGGAGGAGGAUUGAUUGGUUAAGAGCUGAUUAAUUGGACGUUACCCACAGAAGAAGCACCGGCUAACUCCGUGCCAGCAGCCGCGGUAAUACGGAGGGUGCGAGCGUUAAUCGGAAUUACUGGGCGUAAAGGGUGCGUAGGUGGUUUAUUAAGUUAUCUGURAAAUCCCUGGGCUUAACCUGGGCAGGUCAGAUAAAACUGGUWGACUCGAGUAUGG